Molecule: ribosomal RNA, 330 nt
Filed under: Chelidonium environmental sample
Lineage: Eukaryota; Viridiplantae; Streptophyta; Magnoliopsida; Ranunculales; Papaveraceae
Description: eukaryotic LSU rRNA
Rfam family: 5.8S ribosomal RNA (bases 1-84)
Source: RNAcentral
UGCAGAAUCCCGUGAACCAUCGAGUUUUUGAACGCAAGUUGCGCCCUAGGCCAUCCGGCUGAGGGCACGCCUGCCUGGGCGUCACGCACUGAGUCGCCCCUUCUUCUCCGAGGAGAGAUGGAGCGGAGAUUGGCCCCCCGUGCUUCCGAGUGCGGUCGGCCUAAAACUUGGCCCUUGGAGGCCGGCGUCACGAUCCGUGGUGGUUGGCAUCAAUUGUCUUAUCCGGAAUCCGUGGUCGUCGUUCCUCCUUUUGGACCACAAGGAACCCUCGAGAGGUUUAGGCCUCCACUCUGCGACCCCAGGUCAGGCGGGACCACCCGCUGAAUUUAA